RNAcentral lists this long non-coding RNA (2576 nucleotides) under Nicotiana tabacum (common tobacco). RNAcentral's name for it is "long non-coding RNA (NTAB_LNC014407)". Lineage: Eukaryota; Viridiplantae; Streptophyta; Magnoliopsida; Solanales; Solanaceae. The record is from RNAcentral.
UUGAUUGGCAUGACAAGAUGUUCACUGAUGAAGCUGGAAUUGUGUUGAAAAAGUCGUAUCAAGUAUGAAGUAGAUCUUUGCAAUAAGCUGGGAUGAUCCUUUUUGAAACAAUAAUUGGUACUUGAAUUAUAUAAGGUAAGCUAAUUUAUUUUGUUAUUGUGUUACAAUUACUAAUUUUCAUGGUGUGUUUAUGUGAAAUCCCUGUAAAAUUAUGUUGUUAGAUUGUAAAUUUCCUAUUGAAAUUAAGGUGCAUGUCAUUACAUAUACUCCACAUUCUCACUUGCUCCUGCACCAAUAGGAAAGGACAGUAUAUGAAUUUUUCGCCUAGGAAUCUUUCUUUAUGAGGUGCUUUAUAAUGUCUUAAGCAAGUCACAUGACCUUCCUUUUUAAACCAAAAUCAAAUGGAAAAAUCACUUGGAUCGUUAGUUUUGCUAUUCAUCUAUUACUAACAGGAUUCUGACUAAUUAGUAACUUUUUUUCAUUUUUAUGUGUAUCUUCUUCGCUGACUAUGAACAAAAUUAUGAACUAUCUGAAUAUGUUUUUUUCCUUGAGAAAGACUACUUUAUCAUCAACAUCUGUAUAUCAACAAGAACCUUUAGUGGUAUUUUACAUAGGAGUUACAUUGACAAUACAUAGCACUAUUCACCAUAGAUCUAUAUUUGUAUUAUAGUUAGACUACCCUUUUCUAAUAGUCUUCUAAAACUUGCACUUAUUAAUGAUUCAUAUAUUGUUGGUGAAAUAUUUCAGACUGUACAAAAUUUCGCCUACCAACAGAAUAUGACAAAUAAAAACGACAAAUGUUGUUAUAAGCUUCUCACCUCAAGAACCAUCUCCACAAUCAACAGCAAAAGCUUAAAUGUAAAUGUGAGGUUUCCUUCAAUGUCAUUUCAUUUUGUAUGGAUAAAAUUGCAUAAUGAUUGUCUGGUAUGGGCGAACCCAGAGAAGAGGUGACACCUUAUGCAAUAGAUGUUACCUUUGCCUUUUUUUGCACUGUCCAUUUUUAUCUCAGCUAUCUGGUGUGGUUUUUGAGUGAGUUCAAAUUUAAUUUAGAUGAAUUUGCUUCAUAAUUGCUAUUUUUGCUUCAAAGUGCUAUUUCUUGGUGAAGAUCAAGCAACAAACAACAAAUCAUUUAUUAUGUUUAGUAAUAUAGAGAAGACUUUCCAUAAAAUUCUCAUCUUUGGUAGCUAUCUAUUCUUCAUUGUCAUUUUAUUAAUUAGUACCAGGUACUGCUCACCUGCAAUUCUCAUUUGCUUUUGAAGGAACACAAAUUUGUGUGUUAUCAGUUGUUUAAAAUUGAUUGAAUUUGGUAAAACACAGUUUGAAGCUUGGCUAAAAUAAAAGGAAAAAUUUUCUCAUUUCCCUUUGCUUCUGUUAAUGAUAAAUCAUCCUGCCCUUUUUUAUCAAGUAAACAUAAAUCAUUAUGCUUUUGCUGAUUAAUGGGACAUAUUAGCUUUAACAUGCUUUAUUCUUUCAUCCCUUGCACUCGAACCAGGCACUCCUAACAUGAUUAUGGCACUUGCUUCAAAUUAGGCAAAUAAUUAAAUGCAUUUGAAGUUGUCGCACAAGUUAGUCUAUAUCAUUCUUUUAUUGCAUCAUAAUAUUAUAUUUUGUACAUGCUAAUCUGUAGAAACAUACAAAGAAAUAAGUGGUGGUUGUAUACAGUAGUGAGUUAUUUCAAUUAAAACAGUAUAUUCUCUUUAUAGUUUAUGAUUAGACUGGUAUAAAAAAAAUUUAAUGUAGUAUUCUGAAGUAAGCAACAGCCAUGGGGAAAGUACCAAAUAGCAAUGAAAUGCUUCAUAAAAAAGGUACGUAAACAAAGCUCUAAUUUUAUUAUCAACUGACAAUAAUAUUUUCACACGCUAACAGAAGGAUAUUUACGUUAGAAUAUAAUGCUGAGCAAUAUCUCUUUCUCCAAAGAAAAUUUCUCCAUACAUUAGUAAGGGGCAUAAAUAAUUAAUUUCAAACAUAUGCAUUUCUAGAUUGCUAUGAGUCUUCUCGAAGCUCACAUAAUAAAUAUCUAACUAGCUGGGUAACUCCAAGGAAGAGGUUGUCUUUCCUGUAAAGUAUGAAGGAUAAUUGGAGAAAGAUGGUAUAUGAUGCUUGAUACUUCCGUGCUAAUAGAAUGAGACGGUAGCACAAUAAAUUUCUCCAUUAUAUGUUUAUGUUACAAGGGGGUCCAUAUCAGGAUAGUUUCACUAGCGAGGGUUGAAUAGAUCAUUCCAAGGGAGUGACUGAAAGAAACUUUAGAUGUUACUUAUGACACACACCCACACGCACUUUUACUCUCCUUUUUAGGUCUUCUAUUCGGUUCCUACUUUUUGUUGUUUAUCUUCUAACUCUAAUCAUCCUAAAGCAUUUGCAGUGGCAGGUAAUUUGAGAGUUCAAAAGGAAAAUGAUUUGAGAUGUUCGAAGAUGGACUUCCAUCAAUUUCUCAGGUGCAAUGAUCAGAAAAGUUUUGUUACCUUAACAAUUUUCCAAUACUCUUUGCUGAAUACCUUAGCUAGACUCAAAUCAAACUAUCCAACCCAAGAGGUGCUACCAACAACUAGCUAGGAACUAGGAAGGAUGACGCGAAA